UCCCGCGUAGCUCAGUUGGUAGAGCAGCCGGCUGUUAACCGGCGGGUCGCAGGUUCGAGUCCUGCCGCGGGAGCCU
Molecule: transfer RNA, 76 nt
Filed under: Gemmatimonadota bacterium
Lineage: Bacteria; Pseudomonadati; Gemmatimonadota
Description: Gemmatimonadetes bacterium (sediment metagenome) tRNA-Asn
Rfam family: tRNA
About the family: Transfer RNA (tRNA) molecules are approximately 80 nucleotides in length. Their secondary structure includes four short double-helical elements and three loops (D, anti-codon, and T loops). Further hydrogen bonds mediate the characteristic L-shaped molecular structure. tRNAs have two regions of fundamental functional importance: the anti-codon, which is responsible for specific mRNA codon recognition, and the 3' end, to which the tRNAs corresponding amino acid is attached (by aminoacyl-tRNA synthetases). tRNAs cope with the degeneracy of the genetic code in two manners: having more than one tRNA (with a specific anti-codon) for a particular amino acid; and 'wobble' base-pairing, i.e. permitting non-standard base-pairing at the 3rd anti-codon position.
Source: RNAcentral